RNAcentral lists this ribosomal RNA (1110 nucleotides) under Candidatus Annandia adelgestsuga. RNAcentral describes it as "bacterial SSU rRNA". It matches the Rfam family "Bacterial small subunit ribosomal RNA", at positions 365 to 1460 of the family's 1533-position model. The record is from RNAcentral. Lineage: Bacteria; Pseudomonadati; Pseudomonadota; Gammaproteobacteria; Enterobacterales; Enterobacteriaceae.
UGCACAAUGGGCGCAAGCCUGAUGCAGCUAUGUCGCGUGUAUGAAGAAGACCUUAGGGUUGUAAAGUACUUUCAAUAGCAUAAGAAGGUAAUGAAACUAAUAAUUUUGUUAUCAGACGUUAGCUAUAAAAGAAGCACCGGCUAACUCCGUGCCAGCAGCCGCGGUAAUACGGAGGGUGCUAGCGUUAAUCGGAAUUACUGGGCGUAAAGAGCACUUAGGUGGUUUAUUAAGUCAAGUGUGAAAUCCCUAGACUUAAUCUAGGAACUGCAUUUGAAACUAAUAGACUAGAGUUUCGUAGAGGGAGGUAGAAUUCUAGGUGUAGCGGUGAAAUGCAUAGAUAUCUAGAGGAAUAUCAGUGGCGAAGGCGACCUCCUGGACGAUAACUGACGCUAAAAUGCGAAAGCAUGGGUAGCAAACAGGAUUAGAUACCCUGGUAGUCCAUGCUGUAAACGAUGUCGACUAAGAAGUUGAAAGCUUUGACUUAUAAUUUCUGUAGCUAACGCGUUAAGUCGACCGCCUGGGGAGUACGGCCGCAAGGCUAAAACUCAAAUGAAUUGACGGGGGCCUGCACAAGCGGUGGAGCAUGUGGUUUAAUUCGAUGCAACGCGUAAAACCUUACCUGGUCUUGACAUCCACAGAAUUUUAUAGAAAUAUAAAAGUGCAAUUUGAACUGUGAGACAGGUGCUGCAUGGCUGUCGUCAGCUCGUGUUGUGAAAUGUUGGGUUAAGUCCCGCAACGAGCGCAACCCUUGUUUUUUGUUACCAUCAGAUAAAGCUGGGGACUCAAAAGAAACUGCCAGUUAUAAACUGGAGGAAGGUGGGGACGACGUCAAGUCAUCAUGGCCCUUACGACCAGGGCUACACACGUGCUACAAUGGCGUAUACAAAGAGAUGCAAUAUUGUAAAAUAAAGCUAAUCUAUAAAAUACGUCUUAGUUCGGACUGGAGUCUGCAACUCGACUCCACGAAGUCGGAAUCGCUAGUAAUCGUGGAUCAGCAUGCCACGGUGAAUAUGUUUCCAGGCCUUGUACACACCGCCCGUCACACCAUGGAAGUGGGUUGCAAAAGAAGUAGAUUAAUUUAACCUUCUUAACAAGAAAAUAGUUUACCAC